AACGAUGAGUACUAGUUGUUGUGGGUAUUGACCCCUACAGUGACGCAGCUAACGCAUUAAGUACUCCGCCUGGGAAUUACGGUCGCAAGAUUAAAACUCAAAGGAAUUGACGGGGGCCCGCACAAGCGGUGGAGCAUGUGGUUUAAUUCGAUGCAACGCGAAGAACCUUACCUGGACUUAACAUCCCCGGACCGCCCUAGAGAUAGGGCUUUGUCUUCGGACACUGGGUGAUAGGUGCUGCAUGGCUGUCGUCAGCUCGUAUCGUGAGAUGUCGGGUUAAGUCCCUUAACGAGCGCAACCCUUAUCCUUAAUUGCCAUCAUUUAGUUGGGCACUCUAUGGAGACUGCCUGUGUUAAGCAGGAGGAAGGUGGGGAUGACGUCAAGUCCUCAUGGCCCUUAUGUCCAGGGCUACACACGUGCUACAGUGGCCGGUACAGAGGGAAGCCAACCAGCGAUGGGGAGCUAAUCUCACAAAACCGGUCUCAGUUCGGAUUGAAGUCUGCAACUCGACUUCAUGAAGCUGGAAUCGCUAGUAAUCGCUAAUCAGCAGGUAGCGGUGAAUACGUUCCCGGGCCUUGUACACACCGCCCGUCACACCACGAAAGUUUAUUUCACCAGAAGUCCCGGUACCAACCUUCGGGAGGGAAGGGCCCAAGGUGAGAUAGAUGAUUGGGGUGAAGUCGUAACAAGGUAACCGUA
RNAcentral lists this ribosomal RNA (699 nucleotides) under uncultured bacterium. RNAcentral's name for it is "bacterial SSU rRNA". It matches the Rfam family "Bacterial small subunit ribosomal RNA", at positions 805 to 1504 of the family's 1533-position model. The record is from RNAcentral.